AGUUUUAAAAGUAUAACUUAUUUUUGGUUUACAAGACCAAUGUUUUAUAAUAAACUAUUAAAACAUUA
RNAcentral lists this transfer RNA (68 nucleotides) under Hierodula longa. Its description in RNAcentral is "tRNA-Thr". Lineage: Eukaryota; Metazoa; Arthropoda; Insecta; Mantodea; Mantidae. The record is from RNAcentral.